AUUGAACGCUGGCGGCAUGCCUUACACAUGCAAGUCGAACGGCAGCACGGGGCAACCUGGUGGCGAGUGGCGAACGGGUGAGUAAUGCAUCGGAACGUGCCAUUGAGUGGGGGAUAACGUAGCGAAAGUUGCGCUAAUACCGCAUAUUCUGUGAGCAGGAAAGCAGGGGACCGCAAGGCCUUGCGCUCUUUGAGCGGCCGAUGUCAGAUUAGCUAGUUGGUGAGGUAACGGGCUUACCAAGGCGACGAUCUGUAGCGGGUCUGAGAGGAUGAUCCGCCACACUGGAACUGAGACACGGUCCAGACUCCUACGGGAGGCAGCAGUGGGGAAUUUUGGACAAUGGGCGCAAGCCUGAUCCAGCCAUGCCGCGUGAGUGAAGAAGGCCUCGGUUGUAAGUACGUACUUUCGGU
This 410-nucleotide ribosomal RNA is filed under the name uncultured bacterium. Its description in RNAcentral is "bacterial SSU rRNA". It matches the Rfam family "Bacterial small subunit ribosomal RNA", at positions 30 to 444 of the family's 1533-position model. The record is from RNAcentral.